UGAACGCUGGCGGCAGGCCUAGCACAUGCAAGUCGGGCGGAUGAAGGGAGCUUGCUCCUGGAUUCAGCGGCGGACGGGUGAGUAAUGCCUAGGAAUCUGCCUGGUAGUGGGGGAUAACGUCCGGAAACGGGCGCUAAUACCGCAUACGUCCUGAGGGAGAAAGUGUGGGAUCUUCGGACCUCACGCUAUCAGAUGAGCCUAGGUCGGAUUAGCUAGUUGGUGGGGUAAAGGCCUACCAAGGCGACGAUCCGUAACUGGUCUGAGAGGAUGAUCAGUCACACUGGAACUGAGACACGGUCCAGACUCCUACGGGAGGCAGCAGUGGGGAAUAUUGGACAAUGGGCGAAAGCCUGAUCCAGCCAUGCCGCGUGUGUGAAGAAGGUCUUCGGAUUGUAAAGCACUUUAAGUUGGGAGGAAGGGCAGUAAGUUAAUACCUUGCUGUUUUGACGUUACCAACAGAAUAAGCACCGGCUAACUUCGUG
Molecule: ribosomal RNA, 482 nt
Filed under: uncultured bacterium
Lineage: Bacteria
Description: partial 16S ribosomal RNA
Rfam family: Bacterial small subunit ribosomal RNA
Source: RNAcentral